CCUACGGGGGGCAGCAGUCGAGAAUCAUUCACAAUGGGGGAAACCCUGAUGGUGCGACGCCGCGUGGGGGAAUGAAGGUCUUCGGAUUGUAAACCCCUGUCAUGUGGGAGCAAAUUAAAAAGAUAGUACCACAAGAGGAAGAGACGGCUAACUCUGUGCCAGCAGCCGCGGUAAUACAGAGGUCUCAAGCGUUGUUCGGAAUGACUGGGCGUAAAGCGUGCGUAGGCUGUUUCGUAAGUCGUGUGUGAAAGGCGCGAGCUCAACCCGCGGAAGGCACAUGAUACUGGGAGACUAGAGUAAAGGAGGGGGAACCGGAAUUCUAGGUGUAGCAGUGAAAUGCGUAGAUAUCGAGAGGAACACUCGUGGCGAAGGCGGGUUCCUGGACAUUAACUGACGCUGAGGCACGAAGGCCAGGGGAGCGAAAGGGAUUAGAUACCCCAGUAGUC
RNAcentral lists this ribosomal RNA (446 nucleotides) under uncultured bacterium. RNAcentral describes it as "partial 16S ribosomal RNA". It matches the Rfam family "Bacterial small subunit ribosomal RNA", at positions 338 to 795 of the family's 1533-position model. The record is from RNAcentral.